GACGAACGCUGGCGGCGUGCUUAACACAUGCAAGUCGAACGAUGAAGAAAAGAAUUGAAGCUUCGGCAGAAAUUCAUUUCGGAUUAGUGGCAGACGGGUGAGUAACGCGUGAGCAACCUACCUCUUACAAAGGGAUAGCCUCGGGAAACCGGGAUUAAUACCAUAUACAUUGCGACGAAGCAUUUCGAUGCAAUCAAAGCUACGGCGGUAAGAGAUGGGCUCGCGUCCCAUUAACCAGAUGGUGAGGUAACGGCUCACCAUAGUAACGAUGGGUAACCGGCCUGAGAGGGUGAACGGUCACACUGGAACUGAGACACGGUCCAGACUCCUACGGGAGGCAGCAGUGGGGAAUAUUGCACAAUGGAGGGAACUCUGAUGCAGCGACGCCGCGUGAGUGAUGAAGGAAUUCGUUUCGUAAAACUCUGUUCUAUGGGAAGAAAAGGACUGUACCAUAGGAGAAAGCUCCGGCUAAAUACGUG
This 479-nucleotide ribosomal RNA is filed under the name uncultured bacterium. RNAcentral describes it as "partial 16S ribosomal RNA". It matches the Rfam family "Bacterial small subunit ribosomal RNA", at positions 28 to 507 of the family's 1533-position model. The record is from RNAcentral.